UUUGUUUCUUCUAAUAGGGUGCCGAUGUUUUUUUUUUUUUGUGUGAUCAAAAUAGGGUGCCGAUGUUCUUUUCCAACCAGCCAGCGAGUUUCUUCGGAUGAUCGACGGUUCCAGAACAAACUCUUGCGUAUAUUAACUAAUCCUUAAGUAAAUCUUGAUUAGUUCUUGAGAGAAAUCGGACAAGGAUUUGGCAUCCUAGUCACCAAAGUUCCAAAACAAACUCUUGCGUCAUACUCAUUACAAGAACCACAUGAGGUUAUGGUUUUCUUGAGCCGUUUAGCAGAGUGGAAAAUGUUGGCCUGAGGAGGCAGUCCAGGCUAAGAAGACAACUGGAGGAGAUAAAAACAACCUUACAAAAUUAAGAUACCAUCAUUACCAAGUAUGUAAAUGUACAUUCGUAGAAGACUACAAAGAAAUAAAUCAACCUAUCUAUAGCUGAUCGGCUCAGAUUAGAUAACAGUACUAAAUUAGUAAAGAUGUUCUGGUGGCGAUUGAGAAACCCAAGUUCCGGUGGGUUGAAAUAUGUUCUGGUAUUACAAAAUAACAAAAACAAGCCAUUUCUCAGCUUCCAGUAAAGAUGUGAAAUCUUCCAUUGAUUUCGGCCUCCGGUUUCAUCGUUGCGUCGCCGGCGGCCUGAGUUCGUGACUCGUGAGGGUAACCGACAGCUUGGAAGGGAGAACACGUGAUGGUCAAAAAGCAGUCAACACUCAACAGCACAGAGCUAAAUAAAGGAAAAUACUUGGUGUACUCCCAAUUUAUAUUCUCUCUCACAUGUUUUUUUUAUGUAGACACUUUUUCGUGGGAAAAUACUUGGUGUACUCCCAAUUUAUAUUCUCUCUCACAUGUUUUUUUUUAUGUAGACACUUUUUCGUGGGCCCACACGAUGAAAAUAACCAUGUCUGUUUACCACCUAAAGUAGAAGUUAGGGAGUAGAAUUUGAGAGUAUGUAUAGUAAAACUCCUUAAUAAAGGAACUUUUCUUGCUUUA
Ipomoea triloba (trilobed morning glory) is the source of this 987-nucleotide long non-coding RNA. RefSeq lists it as uncharacterized. The transcript is spliced from 2 exons. NCBI's taxonomy places the organism in Eukaryota, Viridiplantae, Streptophyta, Magnoliopsida, Solanales, Convolvulaceae. The record is from RefSeq and is a predicted model, not a curated record.